CUUUACUGUAGCUUUGCACUGGCAUUCGUGAUUGCAUGUGUAGGAUAGGUGGUAGGCUUUGAAGCGCGGGCGCCAGCUCGUGUGGAGCCAACCUUGAAAUACCACCCUUGUGAUUAUGGAUGUCUAACCGCGUCCCGUUAUCCGGGGCCGGGACAGUGCAUGGUGGGCAGUUUGACUGGGGCGGUCGCCUCCCAAAGAGUAACGGAGGCGCGCGAUGGUGGGCUCAGAGCGGUCGGAAAUCGCUCGUUGAGUGCAAUGGCAUAAGCCUGCCUGACUGCGAGACUUACAAGUCGAGCAGAGACGAAAGUCGGUCAUAGUGAUCCGGUGGUCCCUCGUGGACGGGCCAUCGCUCAACGGAUAAAAGGUA
This 367-nucleotide ribosomal RNA is filed under the name uncultured organism. Its description in RNAcentral is "bacterial LSU rRNA". It matches the Rfam family "Bacterial large subunit ribosomal RNA", at positions 2099 to 2465 of the family's 2925-position model. The record is from RNAcentral.